GCAAGCUAGAAUGCCGAUGG
RNAcentral lists this non-coding RNA (20 nucleotides) under Arabidopsis thaliana (thale cress). Lineage: Eukaryota; Viridiplantae; Streptophyta; Magnoliopsida; Brassicales; Brassicaceae. The record is from RNAcentral.